GCGAGCUGGCGGCGUGCUUAACACAUGCAAGUCGUCCGAUGAAGCCCUUCGGGGUGGAUUAGUGGCGAACGGGUGAGUAACACGUGGGCAAUCUGCCCUUCACUCUGGGACAAGCCCUGGAAACGGGGUCUAAUACCGGAUAACACUCUGUCCCGCAUGGGACGGGGUUAAAAGCUCCGGCGGUGAAGGAUGAGCCCGCGGCCUAUCAGCUUGUUGGUGGGGUAAUGGCCUACCAAGGCGACGACGGGUAGCCGGCCUGAGAGGGCGACCGGCCACACUGGGACUGAGACACGGCCCAGACUCCUACGGGAGGCAGCAGUGGGGAAUAUUGCACAAUGGGCGAAAGCCUGAUGCAGCGACGCCGCGUGAGGGAUGACGGCCUUCGGGUUGUAAACCUCUUUCAGCAGGGAAGAAGCGAAAGUGACGGUACCUGCAGAAGAAGCGCCGGCUAACUACGUGCCAGCAGCCGCGGUAAUACGUAGGGCGCAAGCGUUGUCCGGAAUUAUUGGGCGUAAAGAGCUCGUAGGCGGCUUGUCACGUCGGAUGUGAAAGCCCGGGGCUUAACCCCGGGUCUGCAUUCGAUACGGGCUAGCUAGAGUGUGGUAGGGGAGAUCGGAAUUCCUGGUGUAGCGGUGAAAUGCGCAGAUAUCAGGAGGAACACCGGUGGCGAAGGCGGAUCUCUGGGCCAUUACUGACGCUGAGGAGCGAAAGCGUGGGGAGCGAACAGGAUUAGAUACCCUGGGUAGUCCACGCCGUAAACGUUGGGAACUAGGUGUUGGCGACAUUCCACGUCGUCGGUGCCGCAGCUAACGCAUU
Molecule: ribosomal RNA, 816 nt
Filed under: Streptomyces sp. A3M225-S11
Lineage: Bacteria; Bacillati; Actinomycetota; Actinomycetes; Kitasatosporales; Streptomycetaceae
Description: bacterial SSU rRNA
Rfam family: Bacterial small subunit ribosomal RNA
Source: RNAcentral